Molecule: non-coding RNA, 45 nt
Organism: Trichobilharzia regenti
Lineage: Eukaryota; Metazoa; Platyhelminthes; Trematoda; Strigeidida; Schistosomatidae
Source: Rfam
AUCCAGAUGACGAGAUCCAAAUAGGUCGAGGUGCGCGUCCUGCAU